This 253-nucleotide ribosomal RNA is filed under the name uncultured bacterium. RNAcentral's name for it is "partial 16S ribosomal RNA". It matches the Rfam family "Bacterial small subunit ribosomal RNA", at positions 524 to 776 of the family's 1533-position model. The record is from RNAcentral.
UACGUAGGGGGCAAGCGUUAUCCGGAAUUAUUGGGCGUAAAGCGCGCGCAGGCGGUCGGUUAAGUCAGGUGUGAAAGGCUGCGGCUCAACCGCAGAGCGGCAUCUGAAACUGGUCGACUUGAGUGCAGGAGAGGGGAGCGGAAUUCCCGGUGUAGCGGUGGAAUGCGUAGAGAUCGGGAGGAACACCAAUGGCGAAGGCAGAUCUCUGGGCCGUUACUGACGCUGAGGAGCGAAAGCAUGGGGAGCGAACAGG